ACGGUUUUCCUCCGUCACUGCGAUAUACCCUGUCCAGAAGAUUACGUGCGCACGCUUGUGCCCCCGCGUGCGGUGGAUGGCCAGAGGACGGUCGUAAAGUAAAAACGAUGCCCCGGCUAGCUUUCCUCGCGGCUGGCCCGGUCAGGUUGUCUCUUGAUUGCCGCGCGCAGCCGCAGUCAUCGAAAUCUCAGCGCGAGUGACUGCGGAGAGGAGGGUGAGGCAGCGGCAGCCAGAACGCAGUCAGAACACAACAUGAGCAGUGCAAGCAUGUACACCCUUCUCAUCGCUGCAUUUGUCGCCACUCUCAUCACGGCGGACUACUAUGAACCGGUAGCCAAAGAAGUACAUAUUGUCAAGCCUAACUUACCAC
Molecule: long non-coding RNA, 370 nt
Filed under: Dermacentor andersoni
Lineage: Eukaryota; Metazoa; Arthropoda; Arachnida; Ixodida; Ixodidae
Description: uncharacterized LOC126527073
Source: RNAcentral